AUGCAGAAUAUUGGAAUUGAGCAAAGGUGCAAAGGUGCAGAAAUUGAGGAUUUGGUAGUGGCUUUACUUGGCCUCUGCAAUCUUCUAAUGAAGGAAGGAAAAGCUAUGGAUGCUGAAAAUCCCUUUAUUAGAUUUCUUGACAUAUAUGCAAAGUUAUACGGGGAGAAUAAUGGAAGAGUUUUUGAAUGGCUAUGUGUUUGUUGGCCCAUGUGAAAUGUGCAUAAGGGAAUGCUAAUGAAGGCAGUCAAUUAUAUAGAAAUGCUCUUCAGGUCCUUACAGAUUCAAAAUGUAUGCCUUUGGAUGACAACGUAAUGGAAAAAAUGAUAGAUUUACCAGAAUUGCUGCAUUUAGUGGGAAGGUAUGCCUUUGUUUCAGUUCUGCCACUUUUCUAAUUAAGAAACCUCUUUGUGCUCAGACUACAAUAAUUUAACUAGCUAUGUUUGCAUUUAACAAAAUAAAUUGAUAGGUUGAGAAGUUUUAUGGAUGUUCUAUUAUCAUGUGCGCAUAAUAUCUUUUAAUAUCUUUUGAUAGAUUUGAGUUGACAUGUUGAUUUAGAUGUUCUUAAGGCCUGUGAUUGCUCUUCUACUGAUUAUGAAGUGCCUUUCUUUUUUUUUAUUGGUUCCUUAGAGUUGUCUCUACUUACAGAUCUGGGUUAAUAACAUUAAGUAUUAAAAUUCAUUUGUGAGGAUAGUUUGUAGUUUGUAUAUUUGAAGGUGUGAUAAUCUUGAACAUGCUAUUAGGUUAUGAAUUUGUUUGUUAUUGGCUUAAUAAGAUGGAUUGAAAUUUGCAAUCCAUGCAGCACAUGAAUUUUUGGGAGAUGGUUCAUAGAUUGAAAUUACCAUAAAU
Molecule: non-coding RNA, 846 nt
Organism: Camellia sinensis
Lineage: Eukaryota; Viridiplantae; Streptophyta; Magnoliopsida; Ericales; Theaceae
Source: RefSeq, a predicted model, not a curated record